Molecule: ribosomal RNA, 450 nt
Filed under: uncultured bacterium
Lineage: Bacteria
Description: partial 16S ribosomal RNA
Rfam family: Bacterial small subunit ribosomal RNA
Source: RNAcentral
GUGGGGAAUCUUCCGCAAUGGACGAAAGUCUGACGGAGCGACGCCGCGUGAGUGAAGAAGGCCUUCGGGUCGUAAAGCUCUGUCAUCAGGGACGAACGGCCGGUGGAGUGGAAAGCCACCGGAUUGACGGUACCUGAGAAGGAAGCCACGGCUAACUACGUGCCAGCAGCCGCGGUAAUACGUAGGUGGCAAGCGUUGUCCGGAAUUAUUGGGCGUACAGCGCGCGCAGGUGGGAUCUUAAGUCCAUUUUUAAAGUUCGGAGCUCAACUCCGUGAUGGGAUGGAAACUGGGAUUCUUGAGUACCGGAGAGGAAAGCGGAAUUCCCCGUGUAGCGGUGAAAUGCGUAGAUAUAUGGAGGAACACCAGUGGCGAAAGCGGCUCUCUGGUCUGUAACUGACGCUGAGGUUCGAAAGCGUGGGUAGCAAACAGGAUUAGAUACCCGAGUAGUCC